This 566-nucleotide ribosomal RNA is filed under the name Tepuihyla rodriguezi (Rodriguez's Amazon treefrog). Its description in RNAcentral is "partial 16S ribosomal RNA". It matches the Rfam family "Bacterial large subunit ribosomal RNA", at positions 1832 to 2597 of the family's 2925-position model. The record is from RNAcentral. Lineage: Eukaryota; Metazoa; Chordata; Amphibia; Anura; Hylidae.
CGCCUCUUGAAUAUCUAUAAGAGGUCCAGCCUGCCCAGUGACUCUGUUCAACGGCCGCGGUAUCCUAACCGUGCGAAGGUAGCGUAAUCACUUGUUCUUUAAAUGAGGACUUGUAUGAACGGCACCACGAGGGUUAUACUGUCUCCUCUCUCUAAUCAGUGAAACUAAUCUCCCCGUGAAGAAGCGGGGAUAAGAAUAUAAGACGAGAAGACCCUAUGGAGCUUUAAACUUAAUGACAAAUACUAGCUACGUAUUAACUUUCAGAAAAUUAACUAUCACUUUAGUUUUAUGAUCAUUAGUUUUAGGUUGGGGUGACCACGGAGUAAAAAUUAACCUCCGUAUUGAAUGGGAUUUCCCUGAGCCAAGAGCCACGACUCCAAACACCAACAAAUUGACAUUAAUUGACCCAAUAUUUUGAUCAACGAACCAAGUUACCCUAGGGAUAACAGCGCAAUCCACUUCAAGAGCCCCUAUCGACAAGUGGGUUUACGACCUCGAUGUUGGAUCAGGGUAUCCCAGUGGUGCAGCCGCUACUAAAGGUUCGUUUGUUCAACGAUUAAAACCCU